GCCUGCUUAUUGUGCAGAGACUGCUUGCUUGUUACAUCCUCAGUAUCCAUCCUCUAUUCUUUGUUCUAGCAGAAACCCCCUGUCCUGUAUUUUUUUGGGGUGACUACAUUUCUUAACCUUCAACGCAGAUAGCAGUGGCCCAGUGAAACACAAAUGGAAAUUAUUGAGUGGACCUUCUAGUAAACGCUUUAAUGGUGAUGACUCGGUUGGGAGAUGUGCCCUAGCUCUUUUCCUCUUAAUAUUGCUCAGAACAUGGAUAUGAUGGCUGGAGCUGUAGCAUCCAUUUUGUGGCCAUGAGACAACCUUGAGGAUGGAAGCCAAAGAUGAGACAGCAGAAAGUUAGAAGGCCCUCCAGUCCCUGAUAACUGUGGAGCUGCCCUACCAGCUGUGAACUGCCUACCACUGUACACUUACAUCAGAGAAAAAUAUACUUCUCUUUUGUGGUCCGGAUGCUCAAUCGCCUCUUCUGUGAAAUGCUUGUACUCAGUACCUGCCUUGCUGGGCUGUGGCUAGGACCAAGUGAGAUACUGCACCCGAAGCACAGAGAACAGUGCCUGGGACCUAGAGAGGACCCAGAAAUGGUCGGCUCUCACUACCCCAGAGUAGGACGAGUCUGUCAGACAUCACACUUGCUGCUGCUGAGGGGCACCGUGCUCCAGGUUUUGAUCAAUCCAUGGUUGAAGCAGGUUGCAGAGGAGCGGGCAGCCCCCCAUCUCCCUUCAGCGUGCAGCUGGAAGGAACCGCAGACUUGCUGAGCACAAAGAGCAGGUGCACACCCGUUGUGUGCCCACUGGCACCAUCCAAGAAGAAUUUCCAUUUUCUGACCCCACUUUGGAAAUGACAAGUCUGUCGAUAACUGUAAAGGUCUGAACAAUUUCUGUGCCAAACAGAACUUCAGCUGGAAGAAAACCAUCGAUCUUCCAGCUCAGCAGCACCUGCGACGCCUGGCACCACACCUGGCCCGGCUGCUCUGGGGAUGAUGAGCGUCGCGUGCCCUCCUGCACAACAGCCUGUCCACCGUCAGAGACCGCCAGCCCGAGACGGGCGUCUCGCCGCUCCUGUGCCAGCCGCUGAGUUCCGGGGAGCCCGGGGCCGGAGUCACUGCCUCUUCACGGGGUUGGUCAAGAGACAGAAGCAGAAAAUGGUUCUUUUGCAUUGCACAGAAGCUGGCUGGCUCUCAACACAAAUGCUUUUAAGACCAACGCUUGACUGGGCUUUGGGUGGACGUGUCUCAUUUCUUUGCUCGCUCUCAGAGCAAUCUGACAGGGAGCUCAGCCAGGACUUGGUGGUACUUUGGGACUGUCUGAAUGAGGGGGAAAUCAAGGCCCUAUGGUCACCAUUAUGGAUUUUGUGAAAAAUGUGGGAACUCUUUGGUCAAACUGCCAGGCUGUGAGAGGAGAUCGGAGACUAACUCCGUGGAAAUUUGCAAUUCUAGCAGAAGACAGUUGCAGUGGAGUGGAGACAGAAAUCUGCAGAUAUGCAAUUAAAAUUUACUGUCCCUGUUAAAACAGGUUUAUAAGCUCUUUCUCACUGAUACAGCACCUGAGUAGCAGGAGGUGGUGUUGCCACCCAGACGUAGACCCCAGCUCUUAGUGCCCACGCCCCGCUUCCUCAAGCUUACCUGCUCCUGCUCACACCCGUGACCAUCAGAGGGUGCCCGUGGGCACUGGGGCCCUUGCUCAUACAGAGGGCCAGAAGUGCCGGGGGGUUUAUCUCACUCCCCCACCCUGGGCGGCCAGUUGCUGGUGGGGUUAGGAGUCUGUUAUGGACCGAAUGUUUGUGGCCCCCCCAUUCAUAUACUAGAGCCCUAACCCCCAAUGUGGCUGUAUUUGGAGAUGGGGUCUUUACGAGGUAAUUAAGGUUAAAUGAGAUAUUAAAGGUGGGCUCUGGUCAGAUAGAGUUAGUGUCCUUAUAAGAAGAGGAAGAGACGUGGAAAGCCUGCUGUCUCUCUCUCCGCUCACGCACCAAGGAAAGGCCGUGUGAGCAGAGUGAGGAGGUGGCCGUCUACAACUCAAGGGAGGAGCCCCGACUAGACAUCCACCCUGCUGGCACCUCCAGCUUGGACUUCCCGGCCGCCGGAACUGUGAGAAAAGACAUGUCUGUAAUGUAAGCUGCCCAGUCUCUAUACUUUGUUACAGCAGCCCUAGCAGAUGGAGAGGGAAUCCAGAAGCCCAGGCUCCUUUGCUGGGGUCAAAUUGAUGCCCCAGGACUGCCUGCUGGUCAGGCUGAGCUCAGGACUUCACCUGGCAUCCAUCCUUGCGUGGCUUCUUCCCUUCCCUGUCCUGCUCCCCCACUCCCUCAGUGGUUCUCCUGGCGGUGCCCCUUAAUAAACCAUGUGCACCUGAA
This is a long non-coding RNA of Diceros bicornis minor, 2346 nucleotides long. RefSeq lists it as uncharacterized. The record is from RefSeq and is a predicted model, not a curated record. Lineage: Eukaryota; Metazoa; Chordata; Mammalia; Perissodactyla; Rhinocerotidae. The transcript has 3 exons.